AUACGGAGGAUCCAAGCGUUAUCCGGAUUUAUUGGGUUUAAAGGGUGCGCAGGCGGGAGAUUAAGUCGGCGGUGAAAUUUUGCAGCUCAACUGUAAAAGUGCCUUCGAUACUGGUUUCCUUGAGUGUGGAUGAAGUAGGCGGAAUUUGUGGUGUAGCGGUGAAAUGCUUAGAUAUCACGAGGAACUCCGAUUGCGCAGGCAGCUUACUAAACCACUACUGACGCUCAGGCACGAAGGCGUGGGGAUCAAACAGGAUUAGAUACCCUGGUAGUCCACGCAGUAAACGAUGAUUACUGGCUGUUUGCGAUACAAUGUAAGCGGCUGAGCGAAAGCGUUAAGUAAUCCACCUGGGGAGUACGUUCGCAAGAAUGAAACUCAAAUGAAUUGACGGGG
RNAcentral lists this ribosomal RNA (393 nucleotides) under uncultured bacterium. Its description in RNAcentral is "partial 16S ribosomal RNA". It matches the Rfam family "Bacterial small subunit ribosomal RNA", at positions 523 to 918 of the family's 1533-position model. The record is from RNAcentral.